GUAGUUAGCCGGGGCUUCCUCGACAGGUACCGUCAUUGUGUUCGUCCCUGUCAACAGAAGUUUACAAUCCGAAAACCUUCAUCCUUCACGCGGCGUUGCUGGGUCAGGCUUGCGCCCAUUGCCCAAUAUUCCCCACUGCUGCCUCCCGUAGGAGUCUGGACCGUGUCUCAGUUCCAGUGUGGCCGAUCAGCCUCUCAGCUCGGCUACCCAUCGUUGACUAGGUGGGCCGUUACCUCACCUACUAUCUAAUGGGACGCGAGCCCCUCAAUCAGCGGAUUGCUCCUUUGACCUCUCUGUCAUGAGACAGUGUGGUCUUAUGCGGUAUUAGCAACGAUUUCUCGUUGUUAUCCCCCUCUGAAAGACAGGUUGCUCACGCGUUACUCACCCGUUCGCCACUCACUUUCGCCCCGAAGGGCUAAGUUCGUUCGACUUGCAUGUGUUAGGCACGCCGCCAGCGUUCGUCCUGAGCCAGGAUCAAACUCUGA
This 485-nucleotide ribosomal RNA is filed under the name uncultured bacterium. RNAcentral describes it as "partial 16S ribosomal RNA". The record is from RNAcentral.